Non-coding RNA from Phrynosoma platyrhinos (Desert horned lizard), 72 nucleotides. Lineage: Eukaryota; Metazoa; Chordata; Lepidosauria; Squamata; Phrynosomatidae. The record is from the annotation of a GenBank genome assembly.
GCCAGGGUAGUGUAGUGGUUUGAGUGUUAGAGUAGGACUCUGGAGACUAGGGUUCGAAUCCCUACUCAAUCA